CUCUGUUGAAACCUUUCAGUUUCAGGUUUAGCUAGAGCUAAAGAAGAUUGAUCAUGAGGCCCCUCGGCAUAUUCUUGCUGUUCUCCAUGGCUCUGUGCUGCUUCAUGGAUACUGUUCAAGUUAAUAAAGUACCCCGAGAGGCUAAUUGUGAUUUUGCUAGUGGAUGCAAUUAUGACCCUGUCUGUGGCACUGAUGAUACUACCUAUGCCAAUGAAUGUCUUCUGUGUAUCGUAAAUAAGGGAAGAGAAGUUGACGUCCUCGUCAGAAAAUCUGGGAAGUGCUAAGAAACAAAAAUAUCUUGGAGGCCCCAGUAGGGUGGUACCAUGGCUAGCCAGCCUGAGUUAUUAAUAAAUACAUGAG
This 360-nucleotide long non-coding RNA is filed under the name Monodelphis domestica (gray short-tailed opossum). RNAcentral describes it as "lncRNA (ENSMODG00000031423.2)". Lineage: Eukaryota; Metazoa; Chordata; Mammalia; Didelphimorphia; Didelphidae. The record is from RNAcentral.